Molecule: long non-coding RNA, 596 nt
Filed under: Phasianus colchicus (ring-necked pheasant)
Lineage: Eukaryota; Metazoa; Chordata; Aves; Galliformes; Phasianidae
Description: lncRNA (ENSPCLG00000018518.1)
Source: RNAcentral
GCUUGAAGCAAAACAAAUUAUUUCUGUUGUGGAUUCCUGUGGAAGCUCAACAGGGAGGUGGUGGGAAAACACUUCCCAAGUCUCCAGAUGAAGGGAGCAGAUGCUGAAGUAAUGAUAGAUCAUUAGCCUUUGCCAUUCUCCUCAUCCUGUGGUCAGAUCAGCAAAACUGACUGUAGCAGUUGGGCUGAUGUGUUUGGCUGUCUCUGUCCUGCAGGUUGUGCAUUGCUCACUGUCACGGGAUGUUGUGCUAAAGGAGAAGAGGGAAAAGGAACGUCAAAGCAGAAGGAAGCUGCAAGGGAAAAGCUGGGCUCCUGUUGCUUCAGAGUCUUGUGUUGGAGGCAAACUGGGAGCAUGAUGGCUCACAGGAAGGAAGAUGGGAAACAAGACAAUUGAAAGCUUGAGGCAAGCUCUGUCGGAGGAGAAGCCUUCAGUCCUAGAAGCCAGAUCUCCUGUUGGGUUCUGGAAAUCACCCAGUAUCUUUGUGGGAGCUGUUGAGUGUCUUCAUGCCUGCAGACUUCCCAACCCUUGUUCAUGCAUAGAACUUCAGCAAUAAACAUCUGUCUGUCACUCCAUGCAUUCAUAUUUGGCCAGCAUAG